GACGAACGCUGGCGGCGUGCCUAAUACAUGCAAGUAGAACGCUGAAGAGAGGAGCUUGCUCUUCUUGGAUGAGUUGCGAACGGGUGAGUAACGCGUAGGUAACCUGCCUUGUAGCGGGGGAUAACUAUUGGAAACGAUAGCUAAUACCGCAUAACAAUGGAUGACCCAUGUCAUUUAUUUGAAAGGGGCAAAUGCUCCACUACAAGAUGGACCUGCGUUGUAUUAGCUAGUAGGUGAGGUAACGGCUCACCUAGGCGACGAUACAUAGCCGACCUGAGAGGGUGAUCGGCCACACUGGGACUGAGACACGGCCCAGACUCCUACGGGAGGCAGCAGUAGGGAAUCUUCGGCAAUGGGGGCAACCCCGACCGAGCAACGCCGCGUGAGUGAAGAAGGUUUUCGGAUCGUAAAGCUCUGUUGUAAGUCAAGAACGAGUGUGAGAGUGGAAAGUUCACACUGUGACGGUAGCUUACCAGAAAGGGACGGCUAACUACGUG
Molecule: ribosomal RNA, 497 nt
Filed under: uncultured bacterium
Lineage: Bacteria
Description: partial 16S ribosomal RNA
Rfam family: Bacterial small subunit ribosomal RNA
Source: RNAcentral